GAUGAAGAACGUAGCGAAAUGCGAUAAGUAAUGUGAAUUGCAGAAUUCAGUGAAUCAUCGAAUUUUUGAACGCACAUUGCGCCCGCCAGUAUUCUGGCGGGCAUGCCUGUCUGAGCGUCAUUUCAACCCUCAUGCCCCUAGGGCGUGGUGUUGGGGAUCGGCCAAAGCCCGCGAGGGACGGCCGGCCCCUAAAUCUAGUGGCGGACCCGUCGUGGCCUCCUCUGCGAAGUAGUGAUAUUCCGCAUCGGAGAGCGACGAGCCCCUGCCGUUAAACCCCCAACUUUCCAAGGUUGACCUCAGAUCAGGUAGGAAUACCCGCUGAACUUAAGCAUAUCAAUAAGCGGAGGA
Molecule: unclassified non-coding RNA, 348 nt
Filed under: soil metagenome
Description: partial contains 5.8S ribosomal RNA, internal transcribed spacer 2, and large subunit ribosomal RNA
Rfam family: 5.8S ribosomal RNA (bases 1-120)
Source: RNAcentral